CACUACCACAAAAACGGAAGAUAGCCGCGAAAAAUUAGUAGCUAUUUUGACAACAGCCGCUACUUGUUGGUUUUUUGGCGGUUUUGGUGGUGAGCACUGGAAAAGCAGCAAUUUCUUUCGGCGAUGCUUCAACCUCCUUUUUUCUUGAUCUCAUUUUUUCUUUUGUUAUCGCUUACAAGAGCCAGCGCCCAAUGUCUCUCCCCCUCCCUCGGAUUCUCUUGCCACAGCAUCCUGCCAUCAUCAAAUUUGACCUUUGACGCCGCCAACCCCAUUAGACGCACCCUUUUCCCUCUUUUCUCUCUUUGAAUAAACAUCCCCAAACCUUGAUAACCCUAAAUCUUCUUCCCCGAGGUACCAUUGGCGCUAUUUAUGCUCGUUCAGACGAAGACGACGACACUGGGCUCUCUGUUUUAUCUCGUCUGCCAGAUUUGCUCGCCAUCUCCUCCUACUCCUGCAUGGUUCAAAUCUGUUGCAGAUAUAUAGAUUCCUGAUGAAGAUGUUGGACUUUAUGAGGUUGCCAAGAAAAUCGACGACAUAGUAUGGCUUCGGCACCUCGAGGAUCCUCUUGCUCCUUUUUACUCUUCUCCUCCUUGGCCUCAACCUUAGUAUCCAGAUUUUAGGCUGAAAUGGUUAUCCUCUUUGGUCUAUAUUCUUAGCAAAGCUAUUUGAGUCAUGCUGAAGCUAGCCAUUGAUGUUAGUUGUUUGGAUUCUGAGCCUUUUACUGCUGCUGAUGGCUUGCCGAAACAGGUAAGGUGUUUCUGCUUCCACUUUCAUAAGCAUUCAACAACCUCACUUAUUUCGACCUAGAUUAGUUGAGGUGGGGUUUUAUAUCAUGUGCUAGUCUCUGGGAUAAAAGUCACUUGAUGAGACAAAUUGAGAAGUAUGUGCUUUCUUCUUGAUGCCCCUCUUCAUCUAUAUCAUACUGAUUUCUUAAAAAUGAGGUGCAUUAAUUUAUUUCAAUUUCAGGUAUGCUGGUAUUUAUACCUUUAGGGUGUCUAAUUUCUUAUAUUAUAUACCCUUCAUGUAUUUCCGCUCCCAGGAACACGUAUCCAGAUCAUCUUCUCCCUAAAGCAUUAUGUUUUUGUUUUGCGUUUCAGCUGACUCAAAUGUGUUUCUGUGCUGUAGAACCUUGCGCAUGAUUCAUACUCACACUUACGUUCACAAACUCAAUAUUAAGGUUUAAAUAGCAAGAAUUUUUCUAGGUGUUUGUUGUAAGAAAGUUUGACUUAUAGAAUAUGCUUAAAAUCAAUGAGUAAUUUUUUACUAUGUAUGUGACUUAGGUUUUUUUAGAUGAAUGUUCAUUUUCACAAAAAAAUAUUGGAAUUCUGCUAUAUUAGUUUAUUUUCCAAUAGAAUAUAUUUCACUGAAAAAUAAAAAGGUCAUAAUUUCAGCCUCUGCAUUAUAACUUUAAUUUUCUGGAUAUUUUCUUUUUCAAUGGUUCUCAAUUAGGAAGAACUGCAACAACUACCAGGUGAAAAUCCUCAAAAGUGAGUCUAUGUUCUUUAGAUGAAAACGCUUACCACUUUUUUUUAUAUUAAUGUGCAUUUGGAUUCUGAAUUAAUUUCCGAUCCCAUACUAACAGGUUUGUAUUUUCUAAUUUAUUUGUAUACCCUUGAAGGUAUAUAUAUAUUUGUGCUUUACUUAUCUUCAAAAACUGCACAUGAAUGCAAAGUAAAAUAAAAGUGAGGAAGAACUAACAACACUUAAGCAAGAUGCUAUCAAUGGGAAAAUAUCACCCUUAAACUCUGUCCGAAAAGUAAAGAAGUCUGAGAAGCAAAAAUACAAGAGGAGUCUUAAACAUCACAUUGGAGUUUAAUUUUGUGCCAACAU
Arachis ipaensis is the source of this 1830-nucleotide non-coding RNA. Lineage: Eukaryota; Viridiplantae; Streptophyta; Magnoliopsida; Fabales; Fabaceae. The record is from RefSeq and is a predicted model, not a curated record.